GUCCACGCUGUAAACGAUGUCGAUUUGGAGUUUGUGCCAUUAUGAGCGUGGGUUCCGAAGCUAACGCGAUAAAUCGACCGCCUGGGGAGUACGGCCGCAAGGUUAAACUCAAAUGAAUUGACGGGGGCCCGCACAAGCGGUGGAGCAUGUGGUUUAAUUCGAUGCAACGCGAAGAACCUUACCUGGCCUUGACAUGCUGAGAAGUCUGUAGAGAUACGGAUGUGCCUUUCGGGAACUCAGACACAGGUGCUACAUGGCUGUCGU
Molecule: ribosomal RNA, 264 nt
Filed under: uncultured bacterium
Lineage: Bacteria
Description: partial 16S ribosomal RNA
Rfam family: Bacterial small subunit ribosomal RNA
Source: RNAcentral